CCUUUUCUUCUCCAAUAUCGUCUCCCACGAUUUACUUUCUCCCACGAUUUACUUUCUCUGUUUCUUAGUCUGAAAUUUUAUUCCCUAAAAUCCUGUUUCUCAGUCUCCAAUAUUGUGCCCCCCUUUCCACAUUAUUUGUUUCUUUCUCAUUUUUUUCUUUGCUUGACUAAAAAAAAAAUUAUCUUCCCCCUCCACAUUAUUUGAUUUCUCGAAACCCUAAACAUCCACCGUGCUCCCUUUCCUCAGAAGCUGUUUUCGAGCAAUCGAUCGGCUUCUAGCCACUUUACCUAGCAACCAACUCACUUCACCAUAUCACCCUUGAUAAAAAGAAUGUAAAGGCAUAUUUACGAAGAGGCAUUGCUAGAGAGAUGCUUGGUUACUAUAAGGAGGCAAUUGAUGGAGUGCUCAUCUUGUACACUUAUUGCUGAAAACUUUGCAACGACAUUGCCAUAGAUUUUAGUAGGAAGGAUUCAGCUGACUUUUGGUUCUGGAGUGUUCGGGGAUCAUUUAAGCAUCGAAUCGUAACAGGUGUGUACUCCGAUUGCACAGAAAAUGAGUUUCAACGAAAGCCAAAAAGCACUCUGUCGAAGCCACAUGGGCGUGUGGUCGCCCGUGUGGUAGGCCAUAUGUCAGUACACGGGAGUGUGGUCGACGACCAAGCUGUGCGCAUGCAAGACGGGCGCGAUAAACACAGCCAUGUGAAGGCUGGUAGGCCGUGUGCAAGACACAGGCUCGGACAAUUGGGCCGUGUAGGCCAUACAGACGUGUGAGCCUACACGGGUGAACCACACAAGCGUGUGGAAAUUUGGGCCAGGCCGUGUGGAUCACACGGCCAAUGUCAAUUUGGGUCGGGUGGGCCACACGGGUAGGCAACAUGGGCGUGUGAGCCCGUUCUUCUGAAAUAUACUAUAAGGUUGCACGGGUCGCCCAAGAUGACUUUGACUUGUCGUAGGGUCGGUAAUCCUCAACAGUAGGCGGAUUGGCGCAGUGGAGGACUCGAUGGUGACCACGACCACACAUGUUUUGGUUUAUGAACUUUCGACUAUAGCUUAUUCAUUAUUUCUGAGAAUUUUGAUGUAAUUUUGGACUUGGACUUUUGGUUUUAAUUUGGGUUUUUAAACUGUGAUUUUGAAAUACGAAUUGCAACGCCAAAGCAUGUUUUUUAAACUUAA
Long non-coding RNA from Gossypium arboreum, 1172 nucleotides. RefSeq lists it as uncharacterized. Lineage: Eukaryota; Viridiplantae; Streptophyta; Magnoliopsida; Malvales; Malvaceae. The transcript has 5 exons. The record is from RefSeq and is a predicted model, not a curated record.